GUACCGUAUGGGUACAGGAGGUGAAAAGGGAAUACGGUGCGAACCCGUAACGAUACCAGUCGCUGUAUGUGCUUUGCCUUGUUUAUGGACGAAAGUCGGUCAUUGGGAAACUGAGAAGGCGAAACAGGGCUUAUAGCACGAGUCAGAAGACCUGCUUUGAU
This 161-nucleotide non-coding RNA is filed under the name bovine gut metagenome. The record is from RNAcentral.